Non-coding RNA from Paramuricea clavata, 416 nucleotides. NCBI's taxonomy places the organism in Eukaryota, Metazoa, Cnidaria, Anthozoa, Malacalcyonacea, Plexauridae. The record is from the annotation of a GenBank genome assembly.
CCAUUGAUGAAGAAGUGAGGAAAUCAACCUAUCCUUGAAUCUUGGCAUCAGGUGACAUUGCAUCCUUGGACCCAUUGUACAUUGCUGCCGUGGGGCAAAUUUAGUUGCGUUUUGCUGGUAAAAAUAUUCCACAUACUUAUUGCCACAUUCCAUGUUCUAAAUAUGGAAUACACUCCAGGUGUUUCGAGUGUUUAUGCAUUUCUAGAAUCUAGAACCUUAAACCGCCCUGCUGAUGCCGAGAACAAAAUUUCUGUACAACAACUUUUAAGUGAGCUUGGACUCCGAAAUUAAUCGUGAUAAAUACUUAGUUCAUAUAAAUUCAUGCAUGUUAAAGGUAUUUCUUGUCAGCGAGUAAUUUAUAAUAAUAACCAAUUUUGAACCUAUAUUUCUCUUUUGUGUGUGUCUUAAUGUGCCUG